Etheostoma spectabile (orangethroat darter) is the source of this 99-nucleotide long non-coding RNA. RefSeq lists it as uncharacterized. The record is from RefSeq and is a predicted model, not a curated record. NCBI's taxonomy places the organism in Eukaryota, Metazoa, Chordata, Actinopteri, Perciformes, Percidae. The transcript has 5 exons.
CUGGAGAUGAGACGUGACAGAAGAGAAACAACAACAGUAACUGUUUCAUCUUGUUCUGAUAAAGACGGAAACCCCUGAGCUGGUUCAUCUGUUUUGCAG